RNAcentral lists this ribosomal RNA (1367 nucleotides) under uncultured bacterium. Its description in RNAcentral is "bacterial SSU rRNA". It matches the Rfam family "Bacterial small subunit ribosomal RNA", at positions 57 to 1418 of the family's 1533-position model. The record is from RNAcentral.
GCAAGUCGAGGGGCAGCAUUGAGAUAGCUUGCUAUUUCAGAUGGCGACCGGCGCACGGGUGAGUAACGCGUAUCCAACCUUCCCCUUAGUAGAGAAUAGCCCGGCGAAAGUCGGAUUAAUGCUCUAUGUUGUAUUUUGAGGACAUCUGACGAAUACCAAAGGUUCACCGCUAAGGGAUGGGGAUGCGUCUGAUUAGCUUGUUGGCGGGGUAACGGCCCACCAAGGCAACGAUCAGUAGGGGUUCUGAGAGGAAGGUCCCCCACAUUGGUACUGAGACACGGUCCAAACUCCUACGGGAGGCAGCAGUGAGGAAUAUUGGUCAAUGGACGAGAGUCUGAACCAGCCAAGUAGCGUGCAGGAUGAGGGCCCUAUGGGUUGUAAACUGCUUUUAUGCGGGGAUAAAGUCACCCACGUGUGGGUGUUUGCAGGUACCGCAUGAAUAAGGACCGGCUAAUUCCGUGCCAGCAGCCGCGGUAAUACGGAAGGUUCGGGCGUUAUCCGGAUUUAUUGGGUUUAAAGGGAGCGUAGGCCGCAUGGUAAGCGUGCUGUGAAAUGUACCGGCUCAACCGGUGACGUGCAGCGCGAACUGUCGUGCUUGAGUACGCGCAACGUAGGCGGAAUUCGUGGUGUAGCGGUGAAAUGCUUAGAUAUCACGAAGAACUCCGAUUGCGAAGGCAGCUUACGGGAGCGAGACUGACGCUGAAGCUCGAAAGCGCGGGUAUCGAACAGGAUUAGAUACCCUGGUAGUCCGCGCGGUAAACGAUGGAUGCCCGCCGUACGGCCCUUAGGUCGUGUGGCCAAGCGAAAGCAUUAAGCAUCCCACCUGGGGAGUACGCCGGCAACGGUGAAACUCAAAGGAAUUGACGGGGGCCCGCACAAGCGGAGGAACAUGUGGUUUAAUUCGAUGAUACGCGAGGAACCUUACCCGGGCUUGAAUUGCAGAGGAAAGAUCCAGAGAUGGUGAUGCCCUUCGGGGUCUCUGUGAAGGUGCUGCAUGGUUGUCGUCAGCUCGUGCCGUGAGGUGUCGGCUUAAGUGCCAUAACGAGCGCAACCCCUUUCAUUAGUUGCCAUCACUUCGGGUGGGCACUCUGGUGAUACUGCCACCGUAAGGUGUGAGGAAGGUGGGGAUGACGUCAAAUCAGCACGGCCUUUACGUCCGGGGCUACACACGUGUUACAAUGGGUGAUACAGAUGGCAGGUUUACGGCAACGUGGAUCAAAUCUUGAAAGUCAUCCUCAGUUCGGAUUGGGGUCUGCAACCCGACCCCAUGAAGCUGGAUUCGCUAGUAAUCGCGCAUCAGCCAUGGCGCGGUGAAUACGUUCCCGGGCCUUGUACACACCGCCCGUCAAGCCAUGAAAGCCGGGGGC